UGGGGGAUAUUGCACAAUGGGCGAAAGCCUGAUGCAGCGACGCCGCGUGGGGGAUGAAGGCCUUCGGGUUGUAAACUUCUUUUGCUCUGAACAAGGCAUGCCUUUGGGGUGUGUUGAGUGUAGGGGUUGAUUAGCGCCGGCUAACUACGUGCCAGCAGCCGCGGUAAUACGUAGGGCGCGAGCGUUGUCCGGAAUUAUUGGGCGUAAAGGGCUUGUAGGUGGCUGGUUGCGUCUGUCGUGAAAGCUCAUGGCUUAACUGUGGGUUUGCGGUGGGUACGGGCUGGCUUGAGUGCAGUAGGGGAGGCUGGAAUUCCUGGUGUAGCGGUGGAAUGCGCAGAUAUCAGGAGGAAUACCGGUGGCGAAGGCGGGUCUCUGGGCUGUUACUGACGCUGAGGAGCGAAAGCGUGGGGAGCGAACAGGA
Molecule: ribosomal RNA, 421 nt
Filed under: Fusobacteriota bacterium
Lineage: Bacteria; Fusobacteriati; Fusobacteriota
Description: Fusobacteria bacterium partial 16S ribosomal RNA
Rfam family: Bacterial small subunit ribosomal RNA
Source: RNAcentral